Molecule: transfer RNA, 63 nt
Filed under: Glyphocrangon regalis
Lineage: Eukaryota; Metazoa; Arthropoda; Malacostraca; Decapoda; Glyphocrangonidae
Description: tRNA-His
Rfam family: tRNA
About the family: Transfer RNA (tRNA) molecules are approximately 80 nucleotides in length.
Source: RNAcentral
GUUUGGGUAGUUUAAGGAAAACAUUGGUCUGUGACUCCAAAAAUAUAUUUUUUAUUUCAAACA